This 467-nucleotide ribosomal RNA is filed under the name uncultured bacterium. Its description in RNAcentral is "partial 16S ribosomal RNA". It matches the Rfam family "Bacterial small subunit ribosomal RNA", at positions 28 to 506 of the family's 1533-position model. The record is from RNAcentral.
GACGAACGCUGGCGGCGUGCUUAACACAUGCAAGUCGAACGGAAAGGCCCUGCUUUUGUGGGGUGCUCGAGUGGCGAACGGGUGAGUAACACGUGAGUAACCUGCCCUUGACUUUGGGAUAACUUCAGGAAACUGGGGCUAAUACCGGAUAGGAGCUCCUGCUGCAUGGUGGGGGUUGGAAAGUUUCGGCGGUUGGGGAUGGACUCGCGGCUUAUCAGCUUGUUGGUGGGGUAGUGGCUCACCAAGGCUUUGACGGGUAGCCGGCCUGAGAGGGUGACCGGCCACAUUGGGACUGAGAUACGGCCCAGACUCCUACGGGAGGCAGCAGUGGGGAAUAUUGCACAAUGGGCGGAAGCCUGAUGCAGCAACGCCGCGUGCGGGAUGACGGCCUUCGGGUUGUAAACCGCUUUCGCCUGUGACGAAGCGUGAGUGACGGUAAUGGGUAAAGAAGCACCGGCUAACUACGU